UCUGCAGGCAAAGCUAAAUGGCUGCUGCUUUACCAUUUUGCACAGUACACCCAAACUCCUGCAGAUAUCAAUUGUCAAUUUCGUGAACUGGACAAGUUUAUUUGCUAGAAAUGUUCGGUCUUUAAAGUUGUCUACA
This 136-nucleotide small nucleolar RNA is filed under the name Drosophila persimilis. RNAcentral's name for it is "snoRNA:GL27971". RNAcentral also lists the same sequence under 1 other name. Lineage: Eukaryota; Metazoa; Arthropoda; Insecta; Diptera; Drosophilidae. The record is from RNAcentral.